RNAcentral lists this ribosomal RNA (497 nucleotides) under uncultured bacterium. RNAcentral describes it as "partial 16S ribosomal RNA". It matches the Rfam family "Bacterial small subunit ribosomal RNA", at positions 28 to 507 of the family's 1533-position model. The record is from RNAcentral.
GAUGAACGCUGGCGGCGUGCCUAAUACAUGCAAGUCGAGCGAACGGACGAGAAGCUUGCUUCUCUGAUGUUAGCGGCGGACGGGUGAGUAACACGUGGAUAACCUACCUAUAAGACUGGGAUAACUUCGUGAAACCGGAGCUAAUACCGGAUAAUAUUUUGAACCGCAUGGUUCAAAAGUGAAUGACGGUCUUGCUGUCUCUUAUAGAUGGAUCCGCGCUGCAUUAGCUAGUUGGUAAGGUAACGGCUUACCAAGGCAACGAUGCAUAGCCGACCUGAGAGGGUGAUCGGCCACACUGGAACUGAGACACGGUCCAGACUCCUACGGGAGGCAGCAGUAGGGAAUCUUCCGCAAAGGGCGAAAGCCUGACGGAGCAACGCCGCGUGAGUGAUGAAGGUCUUCGGAUCGUAAAACUCUGUUAUUAGGGAAGAACAUAUGUGUAAGUAACUGUGCACAUCUUGACGGUACCUAAUCAGAAAGCCACGGCUAACUACGUG